CACUCCUACGGGAGGCAGCAGUGGGGAAUAUUGCACAAUGGGCGCAAGCCUGAUGCAGCCAUGUCGCGUGUAUGAAGAAGGCCUUCGGGUUGUAAAGUACUUUCAGCGGGGAGGAAGGCGAUAAGGUUAAUAACCUUGUUGAUUGACGUUACCCGCAGAAGAAGCACCGGCUAACUCCGUGCCAGCAGCCGCGGUAAUACGGAGGGUGCAAGCGUUAAUCGGAAUUACUGGGCGUAAAGCGCACGCAGGCGGUCUGUCAAGUCGGAUGUGAAAUCCCCGGGCUCAACCUGGGAACUGCAUUCGAAACUGGCAGGCUAGAGUCUUGUAGAGGGGGGUAGAAUUCCAGGUGUAGCGGUGAAAUGCGUAGAGAUCUGGAGGAAUACCGGUGGCGAAGGCGGCCCCCUGGACAAAGACUGACGCUCAGGUGCGAAAGCGUGGGGAGCAAACAGGAUUAGAAACCCCGGUAGUCCCA
This 472-nucleotide ribosomal RNA is filed under the name uncultured organism. Its description in RNAcentral is "partial 16S ribosomal RNA". It matches the Rfam family "Bacterial small subunit ribosomal RNA", at positions 334 to 797 of the family's 1533-position model. The record is from RNAcentral.